This 515-nucleotide ribosomal RNA is filed under the name uncultured bacterium. Its description in RNAcentral is "partial 16S ribosomal RNA". It matches the Rfam family "Bacterial small subunit ribosomal RNA", at positions 355 to 858 of the family's 1533-position model. The record is from RNAcentral.
UGGGGAAUUUUGGACAAUGGGCGCAAGCCUGAUCCAGCCAUGCCGCGUGCGGGAAGAAGGCCUUCGGGUUGUAAACCGCUUUUGUCAGGGAAGAAAUCUUCUGAGUUAAUACCUCGGGAGGAUGACGGUACCUGAAGAAUAAGCACCGGCUAACUACGUGCCAGCAGCCGCGGUAAUACGUAGGGUGCAAGCGUUAAUCGGAAUUACUGGGCGUAAAGCGUGCGCAGGCGGUUUUGUAAGACAGAGGUGAAAUCCCCGGGCUCAACCUGGGAACUGCCUUUGUGACUGCAAGGCUUGAGUGCGGCAGAGGGGGGAUGGGAAUUCCGCGUGUAGCAGUGAAAUGCGUAGAUAUGCGGAGGAACACCGAUGGCGAAGGCAAUCCCCUGGGCCUGCACUGACGCUCAUGCACGAAAGCGUGGGGAGCAAAACAGGAUUAGAUACCCUGGUAGCCCACGCCCUAAAACGAUGUCAAACUGGUUGUUGGGAAGGUUCCUUCUCAGUAACGUAGCUAACGC